CUAAUGGGGAAAAAAAGUUAUAUAAGUACCCUUUUGAAUAAUGAGAGCUACGACUGCACAUACCAAGACCAGCAGAGAUGCUUGUGGAACUAUGUCCGGCGCCAAAGGCAUCAUAAACACUCUCAUCUCUUUUAGGAAAUCCUGCAAGCCCUGAAGUUUUCCUUAUGGUGUGCAUCCUAGACCUUCUUCCUGUUAAAAUU
Molecule: unclassified non-coding RNA, 200 nt
Filed under: Hevea brasiliensis (rubber tree)
Lineage: Eukaryota; Viridiplantae; Streptophyta; Magnoliopsida; Malpighiales; Euphorbiaceae
Source: RNAcentral